ACUCCUACGGGAGGCAGCAGUGGGGGAAUAUUGGACAAUGGGGGAAACCCGUGAUCCAGCGACGCCGCGUGUGUGAAGAAGGCCUGCGGGUUGUAAAGCACUUUUAGUGGGGAUGAAAUGUGCAGGGCUAACACCUCUGCAUUUUGACCUAACCCACCAGAAAAAGACACCGGCUAACUCUGUGCCAGCAGCCGCGGUAAUACAGAGGGGUGCAAGCGUUAAUCGGAAUUACUGGGCGUAAAGCGUGCGUAGACGGUUACAUAAGUCGGGGUGUGAAAGCCCCGGGGCUCAACCUGGGGAAUUGCAUUCGAGACUGCGUAGCUAGGGUGCGGAAGAGGGAAGCGGAAUUUCCGGUGUAGCGGUGAAAUGCGUAGAUAUCGGAAGGAACACCAGUGGCGAAAGCGGCUUCCUGGUCCAGCACCGACGUUCAGGCACGAAAGCGUGGGGAGCAAACAGGAUUAGAUACCCUCGGUAGGAUAGCG
This 482-nucleotide ribosomal RNA is filed under the name uncultured bacterium. RNAcentral's name for it is "bacterial SSU rRNA". It matches the Rfam family "Bacterial small subunit ribosomal RNA", at positions 335 to 799 of the family's 1533-position model. The record is from RNAcentral.